GGUGGAGGCUUCCAAAGGGAUCGCAUUGAUCUAAUUUUGUAACCCUAAUCACAUCCACAUGGUAUUUGCUGUUAAUUGGAUCAUGCGAUCCCUUCGGAAGCUUCCAU
This 107-nucleotide microRNA precursor is filed under the name Rosa chinensis. RNAcentral describes it as "sRNA RchiOBHm_Chr1g0377561". It matches the Rfam family "mir-393 microRNA precursor family". Lineage: Eukaryota; Viridiplantae; Streptophyta; Magnoliopsida; Rosales; Rosaceae. The record is from Rfam by way of RNAcentral.